UUUUUUCAAUGCAUUGAAAGUGAAAGAAGAGUAAGACAUCAAAACUAGCUCAGUGAGCCUGUGAGAAGCCAUGGAGGGAGUGGGUAGAGGCACUUUAGAAAAAGGAAGGAGAGUUGUAAUUUGGUGGUGGCUAAUGGCCUGUAGACUAUUGCACUCAUCCAAACUCUCUGAAGCAUUCCUGUCUCAGCAGUAGGAACUGCAGCAUCUUACCUGUUCACAUAAGUGGCGCUCUGCCUUAUGUCCGGAGUCUGUUUUGCUCUUUGCAUAUCAGAGUUGGUACCUGCUUUAAUCCCUGUGCCAUGAGAGCGCAGCUUUGGAGAUCUGGCUAGAACUGCCACUAACUUAGGAUGGAGCUCCCAGCUCACUCUCACCAACCUCCUCUACAGAAAUGGCAGACCUGUUCUGAAUCUGAGUAAAUUUUGCAAUUGCACAAUGCUGACAGAUUUCCUGGGUGCCACCUACCUCCCUGGGACACCCAAACCUUCCCUGCUCCUGAGUGCUCUGUCAGGUGUAAGGUUACUCAUCUCUUACCACCUCCCAGACACAACUGUGACUUUCCAUGACCUUCUCCCCACAACUGCUUGUCUCAACUACCACUUCUUUUUGUUGAUAACUCCCAGGACAUGAUAUCCUUCUAAUUGCUAAGUCUUAUCUUACUAGAACGUUCUCUAGCAUUGGACAGUGCUGACUACUCCCUCCUUGGAAAGUUCUCCAUUGGCUUACAUGACUCUACUCUCCUGGUUUGCUUCUCAGUUUCUGUUGUAGGCUCUUCUUUUUCUGCCUCCUCUUAAAUGAACAUAUUCUUUAGGGAUCUCUCCUUGGUACUCUUCUUGUUUUGACUCUUUACACUCAUGCUGGCAACCUUAUCUUCAUUCCUUUGGCUUCAGUUAGGACCCAUAUGCUUAAGUCCUAACUUUCUCCUGUUCACAUUUUUCUGACCUCCAACUAUUC
This 951-nucleotide long non-coding RNA is filed under the name Marmota monax (woodchuck). Lineage: Eukaryota; Metazoa; Chordata; Mammalia; Rodentia; Sciuridae. The record is from RNAcentral.